RNAcentral lists this ribosomal RNA (376 nucleotides) under uncultured bacterium. RNAcentral describes it as "bacterial SSU rRNA". It matches the Rfam family "Bacterial small subunit ribosomal RNA", at positions 523 to 898 of the family's 1533-position model. The record is from RNAcentral.
AUACAGAGGGUGCUAGCGUUAAUCGGAUUUGCUGGGCGUAAAGCGUGUGUAGGUGGUUCAUUGCGUCGGUUGUGAAAUCCCUGGGCUUAACCUGGGAACUGCUUCCGAUACGGAUGGGCUAGAGUACGGUAGAGGGUGGUGGAAUUUCCGGUGUAGCGGUGAAAUGCGUAGAGAUCGGAAGGAACAUCAAUGGCGAAGGCAGCCGCCUGGGCCUGUACUGACACUGAGACACGAAAGCGUGGGGAUCAAACAGGAUUAGAUACCCUGGUAGUCCACGCUGUAAACGAUGAGAACUUGACGUCGGCUUGCUUGGCGAGUCGGUGUCGUAGCUAACGCGAUAAGUUCUCCGCCUGGGGAGUACGGCCGCAAGGUUGAA